RNAcentral lists this ribosomal RNA (433 nucleotides) under uncultured bacterium. RNAcentral's name for it is "partial 16S ribosomal RNA". It matches the Rfam family "Bacterial small subunit ribosomal RNA", at positions 29 to 507 of the family's 1533-position model. The record is from RNAcentral.
AACGAACGCUGGCGGCAUGCCUAACACAUGCAAGUCGAACGAGACCUUCGGGUCUAGUGGCGCACGGCUGCGUAACGCGUGGGAAUCUGCCCUUGGGUUCGGAAUAACAGUUGGAAACGACUGCUAAUACCGGAUGAUGACGUAAGUCCAAAGAUUUAUCGCCCAGGGAUGAGCCCGCGUAGGAUUAGCUAGUUGGUGGGGUAAAGGCCUACCAAGGCGACGAUCCUUAGCUGGUCUGAGAGGAUGAUCAGCCACACUUGGACUGAGACACGGCCCAGACUCCUACGAGAGGCUGCAGUGGGGUAUAUUGGACGCUGGGCGAAAGCCUGAUCCAGCAAUGCCGCGUGAGUGAUGAAGGCCUUAGGGUUGUAAAGCUCUUUUACCCGGGAUGAUAAUGACAGUACCGGGAGAAUAAGCCCCGGCUAACUCCGUG